Molecule: non-coding RNA, 1231 nt
Organism: Drosophila suzukii
Lineage: Eukaryota; Metazoa; Arthropoda; Insecta; Diptera; Drosophilidae
Source: RefSeq, a predicted model, not a curated record
AAAGUAUGUAACGGGCAGAAGGAAGCGUUUCCGACCCCAUAAAUAAUACAUGGCCGAUUACUCUGAGAUUGGACCCUUCAUUUAGCUUUGUAAUAGUGACAGAAAGCUCUUCUCCUGUCCUCAAUAGAUGACUUCCAGCGGAGUAGGCGACCCAGCUGGGCAUCCUCAGACAAAUUUAUAGCAGUUUAACAGAACAGCAAGUUACAGUGUCCAAGAAGUAAAUAAAUGCGAAUUUGACAAAUGCAAUUAAUUAAAUACAAUCGAAUUACAGAUACCAACGAUUUGCAAAAUAGAAUGAACACCGCAAAAUGUUAUACUUAUUUAAAAAAAUUUUGUCGGUUGUCCGAGUGACCUCGACAACUCAGUCAAAAACAAGAAUGAACGCUAUAGUCGACGGCCUCGAAUAUUACAUACCCGUUACUCAACUAAAGGAAGUGGAAGGGAGAAGGAGAUAUGCAGCAUUUCGGCUGUUUCCGAGAUUAAACACUUUGUUUGCCAAAACCCAUCUUUCUAGCUUUUAUAGUUCCCGAGAUCUCGGCGCUCAUACGAACGGUCAGGCAGAACCUAUAAAAAAUUGAAGUUUUCUUAUUUAAUUAGAUAUAACCGGAUAUACAUACAUAAAUAUACACAGAGUUAUACAAGUUGGUUGUUUUGUUCGAUUCAUUCAAUUGUGUAGCUUAAGCCUAUAGAAUAAUUCAUUACUUUAUUUUGGAAUAUAUUUAUUAUGCAUAGAUAAGUCUUUUCCAUCAUAGGUAAUGCCUUCGUAGAAGAACUUUCGAUUUGAGCGGCAUUGAGGACCACAUCUGGUAGAGCCACAACUACGGCACUCAUACCAACAACCUUCACAUUCUUUAUUUAAGCAGUCGCCUGAAAAUAAACAUAUUUUAUUUUAAAUGUCAACUGUUUCAGGGGUGCCACAAAAAUGAACUCCAGAGCUUGGUGAUCAAAAUAAAAAACUUCCUCCAAUUCAGCGCUUUUCGAUUUAUGUGACACCCUUGAAAGUAUAUUUUUAAUUUUCUCACAAAUAUCUAGACCGUUGAUGCGGAUAUUUCCGUAUUCAUCAUACGCGCUAUUUUUUCCGAAGCAUUGCCCUUUCUUCUUUCCUUUUCUUUUAUUUUUGUCUGAAUCUAUUCCUUCAUUUGCGUUAUAAACGCCUAUUCUCCUUUGUCUCUGUCGCAGGUUGCGACCUAUAGAAUAGUCGGGAUCAAUAUAUGAACUCAUUACUUUCUGA